Molecule: ribosomal RNA, 460 nt
Filed under: uncultured bacterium
Lineage: Bacteria
Description: partial 16S ribosomal RNA
Rfam family: Bacterial small subunit ribosomal RNA
Source: RNAcentral
CCUACGGGUGGCAGCAGUGAGGAAUAUUGGUCAAUGGACGAGAGUCUGAACCAGCCAAGUAGCGUGAAGGAUGACUGCCCUAUGGGUUGUAAACUUCUUUUAUAUGGGAAUAAAAUGUUCCACGUGUGGGAUUUUGUAUGUACCAUAUGAAUAAGGAUCGGCUAACUCCGUGCCAGCAGCCGCGGUAAUACGGAGGAUCCGAGCGUUAUCCGGAUUUAUUGGGUUUAAAGGGAGCGUAGGUGGAUUGUUAAGUCAGUUGUGAAAGUUUGCGGCUCAACCGUAAAAUUGCAGUUGAAACUGGCAGUCUUGAGUACAGUAGAGGUGGGCGGAAUUCGUGGUGUAGCGGUGAAAUGCUUAGAUAUCACGAAGAACUCCGAUUGCGAAGGCAGUUCACUGGACUGAAACUGACACUGAGGCUCGAAAGUGUGGGUAUCAAACAGGAUUAGAUACCCUAGUAGUC